UUGGCCCUAAAUCUAGAUGUUCCCUCUACCAAAACAUCCGCCCGAGAACUACGAGCACAAACGCUUAAAACUCUAAGGACUUGGCGGUGCUCCAAACCCACCUAGAGGAGCCUGUUCUGUAAUCGAUAACCCACGAUGCACCCAACCCCUCCUUGCCCGAAGCAGCCUACAUACCGCCGUCCCCAGCUCACCUUCCCUGAGAGCCCGACAGUGAGCACAACAACACCCCGCUAGUAAGACAGGUCAAGGUAUAGCCCAUGGAGAGGAAGAAAUGGGCUACAUUUUCUAAAAUAGGAAACUUACGAAAAGGGGCUUGAAAUAGCCCCUAGAAGGAGGAUUUAGCAGUAAAGGGGGGUGAGAAUACCCCCUUAAACUUGGCCCUGGAGCACGUACAUACCGCCCGUCACCCUCUUCACAACUACUAAACACCCGUAAUUUAACCCAAACCAAAAGAAGUCAAAAGAUGAGGUAAGUCGUAACAAGGUAAGUGUACCGGAAGGUGCACUUAGCACCAAGGCGUAGCUAUAAUUCCA
Molecule: ribosomal RNA, 533 nt
Filed under: Gallirallus lafresnayanus
Lineage: Eukaryota; Metazoa; Chordata; Aves; Gruiformes; Rallidae
Description: partial 12S ribosomal RNA
Rfam family: Bacterial small subunit ribosomal RNA
Source: RNAcentral